GGGAGAUUGGCGCAGUUGGUUAGCGCAGCGUCUUUACACGGCGACGGUCCUCGGUUCGAAUCCGAGAUCUCCCA
This 74-nucleotide transfer RNA is filed under the name Deltaproteobacteria bacterium. RNAcentral describes it as "tRNA-Val". It matches the Rfam family "tRNA". Rfam says of the family: Transfer RNA (tRNA) molecules are approximately 80 nucleotides in length. Their secondary structure includes four short double-helical elements and three loops (D, anti-codon, and T loops). The record is from RNAcentral. RNAcentral also lists the same sequence under 2 other names. Lineage: Bacteria; Pseudomonadati; Myxococcota; Myxococcia.